Molecule: long non-coding RNA, 1640 nt
Organism: Scleropages formosus (Asian bonytongue)
Lineage: Eukaryota; Metazoa; Chordata; Actinopteri; Osteoglossiformes; Osteoglossidae
Source: Ensembl
GUUUUCUUGCAGAUGUUCCAUCGCAGUGAUGCUCUUCUCAUGUUCGCCACCAGCAUGGAGCUCGUCCCCCACCCUUCUCUCCAAGAACCUGCACUUUAACGGUGUGCAACAAAAGCCACUCGUUUUCCUCAUGUUUUUGUUGCCGAUGUUUGACGUGGUCGGAGUGAGCGAGAGUGAUUUGCUAUGCGGACCCCCCGCCUCCUGGAGGAGAAGCACGCCGCCGCCCUCCGCACCCACGCACGCGGCUCCCGAUAUCGAGCCCGAUGAACCGUGUGCUCUCUGUUCGGUUGCACUCCAGGAUGGAUGUGUUUGCGGUCAACGAGGUCGUUUUGUGACGGCCGAGGUCUCCCCUUGCUCCUCGCUGUGGGCCGGAGGUGCCCAGCUGCUGCGGUGAGCUGCGUUCGCGGACGCGCACCUGGGUGUUCGCAUGUACUGGAGCACAGCUAUAUUUAAACAUCACGACCUGUUGUGCCACUUUCAAUGUGGGCCAAACAGACGUGGGAGGCAGCAGCAGGAGAGGCUUUUCAAAGGCUCCGCCCCUUGGUGUUGUAUUACUAUGUUGCUUAGGAGAUGCUUUCUGUUUAAUUUUUUUUUUUUUAAAUCAGACUUCAUAAAUAACCCUCAUGAAAAAUUCUGCCUAUUUAUAAAGCAGGACACUACAGGGAAGCCGCGGGUUUAAGAUCCCUUCCGUGACAGGACCCCCGUUGACCCAUGUGCACACAUCAUUGUGCGUGGAUGGCCUGGGAGCCCCGGCUGGGCACCCGGUUGACCGUAGGGACGCGGGGAUGGAUGAAAGGCAAAGGCGGCCCCGGCGGACACUUGGGCGGCCAGGAGUCCCCGUCAUCGUGCCCUACUUAUGGAGAACGCCACCUUAUGGUCCAAAUGUGCACCUCCAGACCAGGAAUAAUGACAGGAGGCUCUUUUGAAAAACAAUUUGUCUUUGAUUCAUGGCCAGAGUCGGGUAGAGGUGUCAAGAACGCUCGCCGACUUUCCUUAACUUCUUCUCCAAGUCAGAGUCGUGAUGGUGCGGAGCCUAUCCCGGAAGCAAGUAGGUAUAGGUACGCAGGGCUAGUCGGAGCAGCACUGUGGACACAUUUCAACUGUCACAAUAUUAAAAAACAUAUUCUUAACUUCUUAAACAUAUUUAAACCCGAUUUUAUCCCGCAGAGAUCACCUGCUUGGCCAUGAAUGAAAGGCGAGACAAAUCUCAGGAACCCAACCUUAACCUUUCCGACUGGGAGCAUCAUACAGAGAAAAAUGAACCCUCUAUGGUACUAACACGCCACUCAUAGCGUGCGGGAGUCGAAUGAUAUGCGAUGGGUAAAUGUAACUUUUCACCGCUCGCCUCUGUUUUUAACGCAGGGAAAACGACAGAUGUCGGAGAAACGUGAUCCCGGAGAGGGAGCAACUCCAAGUCCGAGUAUCUUAUGUGGAAUAUCUUAUUUCUCAUUUCUCGCUUUACGCAGCUGUUCUUUGAAGAGAAGCUGGGUGGAACAGACUAACACUACCGAUGAACAACAUAAACCAUCGACACACUUCGCGCUGAUAUAUUUAUCAUGGCAUUCAGGGGUUUACAUUACUGCUAAUGUCAGCUUCCCUGUCGGAAUAAAGAUGCACUUUAUAAAGAGCUUGUUAGUAAA